UGGGGAAUAUUGCACAAUGGGCCCAAGCCUGAUGCAGCCAUGCCGCGUGUAUGAAGAAGGCCUUCGGGUUGUAAAGUACUUUCAGCGAGGAGGAAGGCAUUAAGGUUAAUAACCUUGGUGAUUGACGUUACUCGCAGAAGAAGCACCGGCUAACUCCGUGCCAGCAGCCGCGGUAAUACGGAGGGUGCAAGCGUUAAUCGGAAUUACUGGGCGUAAAGCGCACGCAGGCGGUCUGUCAAGUCGGAUGUGAAAUCCCCGGGCUCAACCUGGGAACUGCAUUCGAAACUGGCAGGCUAGAGUCUUGUAGAGGGGGGUAGAAUUCCAGGUGUAGCGGUGAAAUGCGUAGAGAUCUAGAGGAAUACCGGUGGCGAAGGCGGCCCCCUGGACAAAGACUGACGCUCAGGUGCGAAAGCGUGGGGAGCAAACA
Molecule: ribosomal RNA, 427 nt
Filed under: uncultured bacterium
Lineage: Bacteria
Description: partial 16S ribosomal RNA
Rfam family: Bacterial small subunit ribosomal RNA
Source: RNAcentral